This 280-nucleotide long non-coding RNA is filed under the name Elaeis guineensis (African oil palm). RNAcentral describes it as "long non-coding RNA (EGUI_LNC077722)". The record is from RNAcentral. Lineage: Eukaryota; Viridiplantae; Streptophyta; Magnoliopsida; Arecales; Arecaceae.
CGGGUCCUGUAACGUGUACUUCUGUUAAAUGAGAAAGUGAUUUCAGUACCUCGUUUGCAUCUCGUGUUAAAUAGUUGUCUGCCGAACUUCUUCAUUUUCCUUUCCUUCUUCUUUGUCUGUGUUACGUCGUUCCAAGGUCGUCGGCGACCUUGUCAUUCGCCGAGCUUCUUUUCGGCUUUUAUGCCGUUAGGAGAUACCCAAUUGUCAGGUUCGCUGGAAUUUUUCUCCGCUAAAGUCGGGGCUAAGUUCGACUCCCUUGAUAAUCCGAACGGAGAAGCCC